UUGAUCCUGGCUCAGGAUGAACGCUAGCGGCGCGCUUAAUGCAUGCAAGUCGAGCGAUGAGGCUCCUUCGGGGGUACAUCAGCGGCAGACGGGUGAGUAACACGUAGGUGACCUACCCUCGAGACGGGGAUAACGGCUGGAAACAGUCGCUAAUACCCGAUAGACUUACCAGGUCAAAGCGGUAAGAAAAGCUACGGUGCUUGAGGAGGGGCCUGCGGCCCAUCAGCUAGUUGGUAGGGUAACGGCCUACCAAGGCGAAGACGGGUAGGGGGUGUGAGAGCACGAGCCCCCACAAUGGGACUGCGACACGGCCCAUACUCCUACGGGAGGCAGCAGCAGGGAAUAUUGCACAAUGGACGGAAGUCUGAUGCAGCGACGCCGCGUGAGUGAAGACGGCCUUCGGGUUGUAAAGCUCUUUUACGGGGGACGAGGAAGGACGGUACCCUGGGAAGAAGUGUCGGCUAACUACGUGCCAGCAGACGAGGUAAGACGUAGGACACAAGCGUUAUCCGGAGUUACUGGGCGUAAAGCGCCUGCAGGCGGACUGGUAAGUAGGACGUGAAAGCCCCGUGCUAAACGCGGGGAGGUCGGACAAAACUGCCAAGCUAGAGUGCGUCAGAGGGGAGUGGAAAUACCGGAGUAGCGGUAAAAUG
This 653-nucleotide ribosomal RNA is filed under the name uncultured organism. RNAcentral describes it as "bacterial SSU rRNA". It matches the Rfam family "Bacterial small subunit ribosomal RNA", at positions 13 to 688 of the family's 1533-position model. The record is from RNAcentral.